AUUAGUUACUUACUAACAAAAUUAAGAGGAAUUAAUUAGUGAAGAUGGAUAAUUACAGUAGUCUGGCCAUGGUGAUGAUGAGAAAGUGGAGGGAAAUAGUAGGCAGUUUAUAUUCAAAAGUUGUCACCACCACCACCAAGCUACCUUUGCUUAGGUAUUACAUGGGUCGUUUCAGCUCCAUCCAAACUCCUCCUUCUGAACCAACUAAUUCGUCACAAGGCUUGAUGGUGGUUUCAAGAGCAACACCUCAGAAGCCAAAGCCAACCACUGGGAAAGGUCCUAAAGGCAACUAAUCAACAGACUAAACUUAGCUAAAUUAGUCCAAGAGUAGAUUGCUUAAUUCAAGUUGUAGCAAUAAAUAUAUAUAAUUAUUUUAUUUUUAUUUGGAGAUGAUGUAUUUAUGUAUGGCCAUUGAUAGGGAGUUUAUUAAAUAACAUUUGUGGAUGUAACUUGUGAAAUUUUUCUCUAUAUAACACGUCUUAAUUAAUAAUCAAAAGAAUGAUAAUAAUUUUCUUCACACUCCCA
This 525-nucleotide long non-coding RNA is filed under the name Panax ginseng (ginseng). Its description in RNAcentral is "long non-coding RNA (PGIN_LNC007850)". Lineage: Eukaryota; Viridiplantae; Streptophyta; Magnoliopsida; Apiales; Araliaceae. The record is from RNAcentral.